UCGUAGCAUAGUGUGCUUUGUUGUACCUGCAUCAGCAAAGCAGAUAAGCUCAGCCUCUCUUCAUCUGGAAAAGGGGCAGAGGAAGAGAACCAGGAGACAGUGCGGUACUUAAGGAUUAUUGUGAAGAUUUCAGGGAACAAGACAACAGUCAGGUGGCAGCCAGGAUUAGUUGCUCCAUCUCCUCCCCAAGGAUUGAGGUGUGCCUGCACAAGCAAGGAGGUUGGAUGUGGUCUCCAGAGGUCCCUUCCAACCCCUACCAUUCUGUCAUUCUGUGAUUCUGUGAGUACAUUGGCCUUUUCUGUGUCCUCUGUCACCAGGUGCCCUGACUCAUUUAACAGUGGGCACACAUUUUCCCUAGUCUCUCUUUUGCUGUUGAUGUACCUAUAGAAACCUCUCUCUUGUCUUUCACAUCCCUCACCAGAUUCAACUCCAGGCAGGCUUUGGCUUUCCUAAGUGGAUCCCUGCAUCCUUGGCCAGUGUCUCUAUAUUUCUCUAUAUCACCUAACCCUACCUCCACCUCUCAAAUGUCUCUUUUUCUAUCUUUGAGUUUUGUCAAAAGCUUCUUGUUCAUCCAUGCAGGCCUCCUGCCACCUUUGCUUGACUUCUGGCAUGUGGGGAUGGACAACUCUUGGGUCUGGAGGAGGUGAUCCUUGAAAAUCAGCCAGCUCUCCUCCUCUCUUCUUCAGAAUGGUCUCACAUGGGAUUCUUCCAAGCAAGCCCCUGAACAGGCCAAAGUUUGCUUUCCUGAUAUCCAGGGUUGUUAACCUGCUGUUUGCGUUCUCUCAGUAUCCUGAGCUCAACUUCCCAUGGUCAAGGUGGCCAGGGAUGCCCCUGACCUUCACAUUUCCAACCAGUUCUUCUUUGUUUGUGAAAAUCAGGUCCUACAGAGCAUCUCCCUUCUUCAUUUCCUCAACCCCCUUUGUCAGAAAAUUGUCAUCAGUGCACUCCAGACACCUCCUGGAUUGCUUUUGCCCUGCUGUGUUGCCCCACCAAAAGAUAUCAGGGUUAAUAAAGGCUUGUGUGAAGACCUGGGCCAGAGAACAUGAAAUUUCUUCCAGUUGUCUGAAGGAGGCCUGAUCUGCUUAUUCUACCUGAUCAGGCAGACUGAAGCAGACACCCACACCAAUGUCAUCCAUGUUGGUCUGCCCGCCAGCCCAGACUGAUAAGCUCUCAGCUGGCUCAUGGCAGAGCUCCAUGCAUCCCUGCUUCUCUCCAAAAUACUGGGCACCUCUCCCUCCUCACCAUCCCAUCCUGUCCUUCCCAAAGAGCCUGUAUCCAGCCAUUGCAGCACUCCAACUGUAUGAGUGGGAUUUGCCCAUUAAUCAGAGAUUUCUAAAUUGUAGGCUCCAUCUACUGAAGAAUUCAAAGGUGGGAGUUUUUCAUUUUUAUUUCUUUUCCAAACAAUUGGCAACAAACAGAAAGUCCAUUUCUCAGUACCAUUGCAAAGUGCACGUGUUAUGGUCAAAUAUUUCCUAUGCUGCUGUCACUUUUGUAACAAAUAAAUAUUUCUAUCAAAUGGUUCGUAUCAACAAAAUUAAACAGAAAUAAUAAAUGGCUUGCUAAUAUUUUUCUGUGAGCCAGUUUUUAAAUGGGUCACAUUGUUCUUCUCUUUACUAGCAACCUAAAAUAGAAGUUAUUAUAACAACAGUGGUUUUCACAUAAUAGAAUAUUAUGUGAAAUUGAGUUUGGUAAUGUUUUUCCUUGAAAAUUAAGGCUAUAGUAGUUUAGUUACUGAAAAUUAUCAUAGUUUGCCUUUUAUUUUUCUAUCUAAAAGCAAUAUUCUUGAUAGUAAAAAUUGCAGUUGGAGUUCUGAGUAGAGAAAACUAUAUCUUGGUUCAGGCAAUAAGGAAAAUGAAUGUUUAGGUUGAGAGCAUAGUAUUAUUGAGGCAUCUUUUCCCUUCAUGGGCCAAAUUCUCUGCCGGAAUAUUUGAUGCAGUUCCACAGACCUCGGUGGGACUGCACCAAUUUGUGUUACAGCAAAUACAGUACUUUUUUGUUGUUGUUAAAACUGAACUAAGUUAUAAAAGUAAGGAUAGAAUUUAAGAAAAAAGCAUUGACAGCUUUUUAUUUCACAAAUCUUGGAUUUGAGAAGCUAUUUACAAAAAUCAAACUGUGAUCCAUUUCUUCCUAGAGUGUCUUGCAGAUGUGCGGUUGCAGCUCUUCAAUACCAAGGCAAAUAUGAGGUACCCACAAACACCAGCGGAAAGUCAGGCACAUGCAGCCCACCCAAGGCACACGGGGCCAUCCAAGAGUCACCAGCACCUCCGAGGGAGGGGUUUUUUACACACAUUGUGAAACACGCUGGGAAAAUGGAAAUUCAAAUGUGUACAUGGUACAAGUCAUUCUGCCCAGCUCAGAUUUGUGCAUUAUUGCACUGUUGGUGAGGAUUGUGUUCAGGCAAUGCCAAAUAGGGCUGUACAGAAUUCCUCCUCAGAAAACAGAUUUCCCCUCUAUCAUGUAAGCAGCUUCUGCUCCCACUCAGCUCUCAGUUCAGGAUUAAAGGGCAUCUCAGGGCUCCAUUUUGGUGGCUUAAGUUAAAGUAGGGCUAGAAUGGCCAAAAUAAUUUGCAACCCUUAAAAAUAUAAUAAGAGAAAAUAAAGAGGUCUUUCCACCACCUGCCAAGGAGAUUGGAAGUGCAGGACAGAACAGGCAGAAGUACAAGGUCCUGACUAUGCCAGGCACCAUGUGUUAGACUCUUCAGGGAUUUCUUCAGAGAGGUGAACUUCACUUGCACUGAGAUCAAUGAAAACCUGCACAUUCAAUCUGUUUCUCAUAAAAAAAAUACCUCUGAGUCUCUCCAGUGUGCAAGUCAGUACUGUCUGAAAGUCACAGGGAAAUGAAGGGCUGAAAGGCUAAGAAUUUCAUGCUUCUUUUUCUUUUUAUAUACCCUUUAUUCACGCAGAUCCUAUGGGAAGCAUAGGACUUCAGCACAGGGACAGCCAGAAAGAUUCAGGGCUGUUAAUUUAGUAGCUUGUUUAAAUCCCAAGGUAAACCAGUUGUGCUAAAUUAAUCUAUGAACCCUCACGUCAGAUCUAGAGACUCUGAGCAGUACAGAUAUUUUGAGAUGAACUAAUUGUGGUUGAGAGAAGGGAGAGUAUGAGCACUGUGUGCUGCAGUGGGGUUAGCGCACAGCGCAGUGCAAAAAGCUGACACAGGCAACACAGCCAGAACACCAGAGAUCAAAGACAUCCAGGCAUUUCUAAAAAUUAGUUGCUGGAAUAAUCACAGGUUUGAAAUGCUUGCUAGGAAACUGAGGAAGAUGUGCAGUGCAAAAAUGGGAGUUUCUGGAAGUGGUGGAGAUUGGAAAGAGCAGGGGAGACUACUGCUGACAGUUAAUAGAUUAAUAAAGAGCUGUCUCUCAUGGGAGUUUUUUCAGCUCUUAAGCAGGAAUCAGAGGCAGCCCAGCUAGUUUGUUUUCUAAACUCAGGCAGGACCGGUUAACAGUGCUUCCUCUCACCGAAGUGAAUUAGAGAAUACAGGUACUGCCAUCAUUAACAUCAUAUUGGAAAGCAGGGGGCAGGUCUUGACAAAUCGCAGGCGAAGGCUGCACCGUGGAGCCGAGCGAGAGCAGUGUUUGGGGUAACCCAAGGCUUCUUCUGGACAAUGCUCUUCCGUGAGCCCAGCGCUGGCAGACGCUGUGAGAUGGAUGCACUACGUCCAUCCCCACCCACCCCACAUCUAGCCUAACAUCAGUGCUAUGAAAGCACAUACAAAUUGUCAUGGUAUUGUCGAUUUAAUUGCUACAACCAAACAAGAAGGGAAUAAAGAAGACUUCCAAUGUGCUGCUGGUAAAUGUGGAAUUUGUAGUAUGUUGGUAUAUCCACCUUCAUUGGGUGGAUGACAUUUAUGAACUGAAAUUGACUUUUUUUUAUAAAUUAAUGAGAUUGCACUUUUGGUUUUACCCCUCUGCAUGAAUGGUGGAAAAUACUUUUUAAAUACUAUGCUGCAGAAAGAAAAUAAAAUUAAUA
This is a non-coding RNA of Phalacrocorax carbo (great cormorant), 3968 nucleotides long. Lineage: Eukaryota; Metazoa; Chordata; Aves; Suliformes; Phalacrocoracidae. The record is from RefSeq and is a predicted model, not a curated record.